UACGGAGGGUGCGAGCGUUGUCCGGAAUCACUGGGCGUAAAGGGCGCGUAGGCGGCCUGAUAAGUAGGGGGUGAAAUCCUGAGGCUUAACCUCAGGGCUGCCUUCUAAACUGUCGGGCUCGAGCACAGUAGAGGCAGGUGGAAUUCCCGGUGUAGCGGUGGAAUGCGUAGAGAUCGGGAAGAACAUCAGUGGCGAAGGCGGCCUGCUGGGCUGUUGCUGACGCUGAGGCGCGACAGCGUGGGGAGCAAACGGG
This 253-nucleotide ribosomal RNA is filed under the name uncultured bacterium. RNAcentral's name for it is "partial 16S ribosomal RNA". It matches the Rfam family "Bacterial small subunit ribosomal RNA", at positions 524 to 776 of the family's 1533-position model. The record is from RNAcentral.